RNAcentral lists this long non-coding RNA (1383 nucleotides) under Bemisia tabaci. Its description in RNAcentral is "lncRNA ENSSSA1NGG012140". The record is from RNAcentral. Lineage: Eukaryota; Metazoa; Arthropoda; Insecta; Hemiptera; Aleyrodidae.
ACCAAAUUGCCGCUGGCCCAUAAAACACGGGAUGAGCCGGCUGGUGAGAGCUGGUGCCCUGCCACCCAGCGGCAAUUUGGUCUAGCCCUGAUUCCGGUGGGAACAUCUACUCUGGCCACCGUACCCGGAAUACCUGAUUGUCAGCAUCCAGCGAGCGGUCGGCAGAGGGCAACCCUCAGCAUCCCUUGGAGGUAUCGACGGCAGGGACGUGUCAACCAAUCGGUCAAACGGCUCUCACUGAUCGCCAGGCAGGCAUCCCUAGGACAGCACUCUCAGGAUCGGCUUCGAGGCACGUUGGGGGCAUUCUGCGCACCUGGCGUAUCCUACCUCUACUCUCGGCGAGAGCCGGGCAUGCUUCCCGCAUCUGAUCGACGGAGGCAUCGACGGAGGAUCAACCGUACAUCAUCCGGAUAUCCUGGCUGAUCAAGGGACAUGCAUUCAGGGCGCAAUCUGGGAGUGAGAGUGACACGGCGACCUGACAACCGCGCAUCAUCACGGCGCUGGCGGUGACAACGAUCGACGAGCGACAAACAUCAACAUUGGGCAUUGCGAUGACUGGCACGCGCGCUUCUGAGUCAGCGGAAUGUGUUGGACGGACACGGCAUAUGGGGACUUUUCCUGGAGACAGCAGAUUCUUCGUUGUAGUAGUUUAAGAAACCAAAAUCGGGUACUCGAGACCGUUCUUUAUUCAUGAUUUGUUUUGAUUCAAGUUUUUUUUUCUGAGUACCGCGAGAUUGCGCCAGGUCAGAGCCGCGGCGGGACGAUUUCAUAGCAGUUUUGAGAUUUUGUCAAAUGAACGGAACGGCUAUGAAACCAUCGAACCACGGGUCUGAUCGGGUGCCGGCAAUAAUAUGUAGCCGAUUUAUUUAUUAUUUUUUUGGAAAAAUCAUAUUUUCUAUGACAUUUUAAUUUAUGUUUUUACGCUAGCCUUCUUUUAUUUAUAUUUUUUUUAACCUACUUUUCUUUUACUAUUUUUUUUACGAUGAAACGCUGCACUUGCUACGCAAGAGCCUUUGCUUCGAAAGGGAUGGCUGAAUCAUUUUUUUUUCCCGUUUUUUUUCCUAAGGUGGGAUGGUGUAAUAGAAUGGGGCCAUAUCACUUACGUUUUAGGGCCACAUUCCAUUAUGCUUUCUAGCUCAUUCGGGCUGAGAGCCAUCGAUUUCGCAAGCGCAGGCUCAGGCGGGCAUUUGGAUGUUUAGAGUAUUCAUCUCGGAGCGCCGAUUUAUCUCGCAAUCACGUCUUUGACGUCAUCGCUCGAUCGGAUGCUACGAGAUGCGUGCAUCUCGAGAUUCGCGGCGGAUUCAUUCGUAUCUUUGGAGACAGCGAGUAUAGGAGCAUCUAGCCAGUGCAUCUUGUGUAUACCGUUGUAUUUUAUCGAGAUAU